This 1061-nucleotide ribosomal RNA is filed under the name uncultured Acidobacteriota bacterium. RNAcentral's name for it is "bacterial SSU rRNA". It matches the Rfam family "Bacterial small subunit ribosomal RNA", at positions 336 to 1387 of the family's 1533-position model. The record is from RNAcentral. Lineage: Bacteria; Pseudomonadati; Acidobacteriota.
UUCCUACGGGAGGCAGCAGUCGGGAAUUUUGGGCAAUGGGCGAAAGCCUGACCCAGCAACGCCGCGUGAAGGAUGAAAUCCCUCGGAUGUAAACUUCGCAAGAACGGGAAGAAUAAGUCGGUGUUAACACCAUCGGCGAUGACGGUACUGUUUGUAAGCUCCGGCUAACUCCGUGCCAGCAGCCGCGGUAAUACGGGGGGAGCAAGCGUUGUUCGGAUUUACUGGGCGUAAAGGGCGCGUAGGCGGCCACCGCAAGUCGACUGUGAAAUCUCCGGGCUUAACCCGGAACGGUCAGCCGAUACUGCGGGGCUAGAGUGCAGAAGGGGCAACUGGAAUUCUCGGUGUAGCGGUGAAAUGCGUAGAUAUCGAGAGGAACACCUGCGGCGAAGGCGGGUUGCUGGGCUGACACUGACGCUGAGGCGCGAAAGCUAGGGGAGCGAACGGGAUUAGAUACCCCGGUAGUCCUAGCCUUAAACGAUGAAUGCUUGGUGUCUGGGGUUUUAUAGUCCCCGGGUGCCGUCGCUAACGCUUUAAGCAUUCCGCCUGGGGAGUACGGUCGCAAGACUGAAACUCAAAGGAAUUGACGGGGACCCGCACGAGCGGUGGAGCAUGUGGUUUAUUUCGACGCAACGCGAAGAACCUUACCUGGGCUAGAAUGCCUCUGACCGGCGUAGAGAUACGCCUUCCUGGGUAAAACCAGGCAGAGUGCAAGGUGCUGCAUGGCUGUCGUCAGCUCGUGUCGUGAGAUGUUGGGUUAAGUCCCGCAACGAGCGCAACCCUUAUCAAUAGUUGCCAGCGGUUCGGCCGGGCACUCUAUUGAGACUGCCGUUGACAAAACGGAGGAAGGUGGGGAUGACGUCAAGUCCUCAUGGCCUUUAUGUCCAGGGCUACACACGUGCUACAAUGGCGAGUACAAAGCGCUGCAAACCUGCAAAGGGGAGCCAAUCGCAAAAAGCUCGUCUCAGUUCGGAUUGGAGUCUGCAACUCGACUCCAUGAAGCUGGAAUCGCUAGUAGUCGCAGAUCAGCAUGCUGCGGUGAAUACGUUCCCGGGCCUUGUACA